UACGUAGGUGGCAAGCGUUAUCCGGAUUUAUUGGGUGUAAAGGGCGUGUGGGCGGGAAUGCAAGUCAGAUGUGAAAACUAUGGGCUCAACCCAUAGCCUGCAUUUGAAACUGUAUUUCUUGAGUGCUGGAGAGGCAAUCGGAAUUCCGUGUGUAGCGGUGAAAUGCGUAGAUAUACGGAGGAACACCAGUGGCGAAGGCGGAUUGCUGGACAGUAACUGACGCUGAGGCGCGAAAGCGUGGGGAGCAAACAGG
Molecule: ribosomal RNA, 253 nt
Filed under: uncultured bacterium
Lineage: Bacteria
Description: partial 16S ribosomal RNA
Rfam family: Bacterial small subunit ribosomal RNA
Source: RNAcentral